RNAcentral lists this ribosomal RNA (301 nucleotides) under uncultured bacterium. RNAcentral's name for it is "partial 16S ribosomal RNA". It matches the Rfam family "Bacterial small subunit ribosomal RNA", at positions 509 to 809 of the family's 1533-position model. The record is from RNAcentral.
CAGCAGCCGCGGGAACACGUAGGUGGCAGGCUUUGUCCGGAAUUAUUGGGCGUAAAGCGCGCGCAGGUGGUUUAAUAAGUCUGAUGUGAAAGCCCACGGCUCAACCGUGGAGGGUCAUUGGAAACUGUUAAACUUGAGUGCAGGAGAGAAAAGUGGAAUUCCUAGUGUAGCGGUGAAAUGCGUAGAGAUUAGGAGGAACACCAGUGGCGAAGGCGGCUUUUUGGCCUGUAACUGACACUGAGGCGCGAAAGCGUGGGGAGCAAACAGGAUUAGAGACCCCCGUAGUCCCUGUCUCUUAUAA